RNAcentral lists this ribosomal RNA (885 nucleotides) under Triticum aestivum (bread wheat). Its description in RNAcentral is "partial small subunit ribosomal RNA". The record is from RNAcentral. Lineage: Eukaryota; Viridiplantae; Streptophyta; Magnoliopsida; Poales; Poaceae.
AUGCGCUUCAUAACCUGUGAUGGGCUCCUCAUCUUGUGGUGGGGUUCAGAUUUCUACAUCUGCAACCCGGCCACCCGCAAGUGCGCCCCGCUGCCGCAUCCUCCACGAGAACAGUUCAUCAGCCCCAUCACCGGAGUCGACGUGCUCGGCUUGUACCGGCACCAGCCAUCUGAAGAAUACCGGGUGCUCUGGGUGUCCUACGCCUCGCUCAUGGGGACAUCAUUUCCAUUCACCGCUUGUCAGGUUGAGCAGCCUCAUUACUUUGUCUUCACCGUGGGAUCGGACCAGCCAAGACGCAUCCAAUGGCCGACAGUUUCAGAAGAUUGGUGUCCUGCUGCCCGGUCCAACCAUCCACCCAUCCACCAUCGUGGUAGCCUCCACAGGGCAAUGGGUUGCAGCAUAACGGUAUUCGACACCAUAGCCGAGACAUUCCGGCAGAUGAGCCGCCCGGCACAAUUGGGCAGUUUCGUGUUAUUAUUGGAUACGGGCGUCAACCUUCCUUUGUAUGUCAGCACCGACCAUGACCGCGUCACUUUGGAUGUUUGGGUCUUGCAUGACUAUGAUGCAGAGACCUGGGGGUUUCGAUACCGGAUUAACUUGUUAGCGAUGGAGGCAUCUCCACCGCUUAAGUUGUGGAAAUCUAUCCCUAGGCUGGCUGUGAUCAAUGAGCGUGAGCUGUUGAUGGCGCAGCGUCCUCGUCGUCUGUUGCAUUGUGACAUUGAUGGUGUGUUUUUAGGAAAUGUAGAAAGUGAAGAGCAUGAGAACCGCUUGACACUUUCUUGGCAUCGCUUCCAAGAGAGCAUGAUUUCAGUCUCACUGUUUGAGGCGCAAGAAGAAGAAGAUGCUGUGAGCAACGAGCGUCGUCCAUUCAUCAUGGUGCUAUAA